AUCUACGACCAUAGGAAGAGGAACAUAGGGUAUCCCGUCCGCUCUGCCUUACUCAAGCCUCUUACCGAGCUCUCAGUACUAUCGUGGGUGACCAGAUGGGAAUCGGGCUUGUUGUAGAUU
This 120-nucleotide ribosomal RNA is filed under the name Drechslerella stenobrocha 248. The record is from RNAcentral. Lineage: Eukaryota; Fungi; Ascomycota; Orbiliomycetes; Orbiliales; Orbiliaceae.